UUGCUCCAUUUUUUUUUCAUGUCCAACAAGAAGAGUCCCCCGGGUUACAGUAAAACUUUGAAGGAGGAGGAGGAAAAAGCUUACAGCGGAAGCUAAAUUUGGGUUACUGGAGGGAGAAGAGAAAGAGAAUUCUCUGAAAUUAUAGUUUAAUUUGUUCUUCAACUGUUUCAGAUCUCCCUCGCCCAAUUUGAAUUUUGUGAAACUAACGUUCUUUCAGGUUCUAUAUAUGUUCACAUUUUUGACCGUAUACAGCAGAAGAAAGGUAUAGUGGAGAUUAUUCUUACGGAUUGAUUGAUUGUGUGUAUAUACAUAUAUUGAAGAAGUAAGGAAAUUGGUUAUUGGGAGAACGCAACUAGUUUAGUUUUAGCAAUGGUUUCAAGCUUGUUUAUUGGAACAAGUUUUACAUUGAAGAAGAAAAGUCUCAUGCGUGCUGCUGUUGGCACUCGAGCAGGAGUUGGAGGCUAUACCUAUUUGUUGAACCCCUUUGGUGGGCAGGCAUGAUUACAAGUAAGUGGAUCAUGAGUUGUGAUUGUUAUUUCCUGUGCUAAACCCAACAGUUUCCACGAGUAAACUUCAUUCAGGAUAAAUAUGCAUUAGUAUCGUUGGGGUCUUAAUGACAUUUGGAUUUGGAUAUGCAAUGAUUGCUGGGGAGGUUUCCAAUUUUGUGGCCUAUAUUUAUGCUCCAGCAAUUCUUGUGACCCAACUUGGUGCGUUGAGUAUAAUUGUCAGGUGAGAUUUUGAAGUCUUAUGUGCUGUUUUGAAACUCUGGCAAGGAACUCCUGCUGAUGUUUCCAUAACUAACCUUGGUAAAUCUGAAUAGUGCUGUCUUGACACAUUUUAUUUUGAGGGAAAGACUACAACAAUUAGGUGUAGUGGGAUGCAUAUUAUGCAUAGUAGGAUCUGUGGUAAUGUUUAUACAUGCACCUCAAGAGCAUAUGCCAAGUUCUGUACGAUAAAUCUGGAUUUUAGCAAUUCAAUUAGGUCUGGACUUUAAGUGUUUUUUCCUGUUUAUCUUGCUAUAGGUUAUGAUUCUCUCUCCGUUGAGCUCAUUAUGAAUUUUUCCUCCUAAUUUUGUCUGCAACAUUUGUAAUUUAUGUGGCAGCAACAGCAACAAUAUUCAUAGUAGCAGCUUUGAUGUUUCAUUAUGUACCUCGUUAUGGACAAACAUGCUCAUAUAUUUGGGAAUAUGUUCCUUAAUGGGUGCACUUACAAUAAUUAUGGUUUCUUCUAGACUUCUUCUAGUCAUCGUCUAUAUUCCUACGUAGAAUUUGUACAUUACGUUCUUCUUGGACAUAAUAAAUCUUUGCAGAUGUGAACACUUUCCUAGCCCAUCAAGAUGUUUCUGUGGCUUUCUAUUAAUUUAUUGAAUUUGCAGGUUGUCAGCAUAAAGGCUAUUGGAAUUGCAAUAAAACUUACUUUGGAAGGAAUUAGAUAGAUUGCCUAUCCGCAGACUUAGUUUUUUUCUAGCUGUUGCAGUAAUCUUUGUCUUCACGCAGUUAAAUUAUCUAAACAGGGUAAUGCCAUAAAACUUUCCAGCUUGACUGAGAUCUGCUGUAAUCCAUCUCAUAAGUCAUUUGCAUUGCCUUUCCUAGCGUGAAUUUCCAAUUCUCUAAAAUGAAUGCUUAUAAUCAGGACUAGUUCAGACCAUACAUAAUGUGUAUAUAUGAUGUCAAUACUUGAUACCAACUAUGCAACAAUAUUUGCCAAGUCUUUUCAUUCUAUCUGUGUUUCAACUUUUGUGAUUUGGCAAUAAACUUGUUGCUCUUUGUUGUGUGUGCUUGAUAUGUGAGCAUUUUUAAUAUCUGAAACAAGUGCUCUGGUUGAGAAUCUUGCAAAGAACUUCAUUUAAAAUUUUCCUUAUUACAUGAACCUUGAGAUGCACUUUGACCAUUGCAAAGUGCAGUAAAUGGGCAGUGCAUGCUCCUUGACCAUUACAAAGUGUACUAAAUGUGCAGUGCAUGCUAACAUUUAUGCAUCAUUUUGAUAGGCACUGGAUACAUUCAAUGCUGCAAUUGUUUCUCCAAUAUAUUCUGUAAUGUUCACCACUUUGACCAUCAUCGCAAGCACAAUAAUGUUCAAGGACUGGACUGGGCAAGAUGUAGUAGUAUCGUAUCUGAUAUCUGUGGAUUUAUCACAGUUCUUUCGGGAAUAAUUUUACUCCAUCUGACUAGAGAACAAGAACCAACAAAUCCACCACGUAAAAAUUAAAGUUGAAGCAUGUACCUGCUACCCAGCUAUAUAAAUCGUCUGGCUCUCAUCUUGAUAUGUGUAUAUCCUUGAUAUCAUGCAGUCUAAAAUCUUAUAAAAUGUAUGGCAUUGGAUCUGUAAGUCUGCAAUACCUAAAAACAUAUGUUGAUUUGGGUGCAAUUAUCCUAUUUUGGGUCAAUUUGACUACUUAGUUUCAGUGAACCUUCUAAAUUUGGUUACUUUGUGUUUACCUGAUCUCAAUGAAGACGGUAAGGAACACAAAUAAAAUAAUCAAACUUGUAAUCUAUCUGAUUUUACUUGACCUUUCACAACAAUUAUUCCAUUUCGAUAUGGGGCUAGACCACCAAAGGAGCACACAACUUUACAGUGCAACAUAUGGUGAAACAGUGAGGUUAUCUGCUCCAAAUUUUUCUUAAUUACUGCACAUGCUCUUCUAAUUUUGGGUACUUGGUUCUAUGAUUAAACAUUUUAAAAGAGCAUGUGUUUCCAUCAUGUAACACAUUAGCAUCCUUUUAUUGACAUUGGGACAGAUGACUCCCUUGAGCUAGUGAUUGACAGAAAUUAUUAAGUACUUUCUGGCAUUAAUUUUGAUGUUGUAGAACUUUCCGUAUAAGUUCAGGUCUGGAGUAUACUAAAUGUUCUUAGAGAUACUUCUGCAGAAGCUAGACUUGGAACUCCAAAUUGAAGCCUCAAUAUAUUUAUAUGCCUCAAAAGUAUUGUAAGUUUGUGCUUAUAAUACAGAAGUUUAUGCAGGAAAUGUAUCGUGGUAUGAUGGAAAAGAUAUAAAAGCUAUGGAGGAUGGACACUACAUAAUGUUGAAUGAUUCAAACUAUUUCUGCUGAUAUCAUCUCGAUAUACAUUCUAGAUUUUGACUGCAAAAGUUGAAAUUGUAUCCACAACUGAUGCUUAAUUUGUGAGAGUUCUUGCUGAAGCUCCGCAAUGUUGAGCUUUACAACUAGGAGGGAAGUUCUGGUACAAGCACAAUUUUGGGGAAGGCUAUUGAUUCAGUCACCUUGUAACUGAAGCUUGGCGUGGAUCUUUGCUGAGCUGCUGUUCAAAUUUGAGAGCUGUUGUUCAAAUUUGAGGUUUGUACAUACUCGAUGAUGUCUCUUCAUUCAGUUGGUUGUGCAGAGAAUUUAGUUGAUUCAUGCUGUAAUUUAUUGUGCCACCAAAUUGGUGCAACAUAUUAUGAGUUCUAUAGUGUGAGAAUAUAACAUAGUGAAGAAGGUUACAGCAGUAAGUUGGAUCAUUUAUUUUCUGAGGAUUUCAUGAUAUGGAAAUCUAACCUGUUUAUUUACGGGUAAUGACAUGAUGAACUCAUUUUCACAUCUAAGAGUAAUUGGAAGAAUUAUUCCCUUUGUAGACAAAUUUAGCUAAUUUUUUUUAGUAUAAUACAUAAAUAUUACCUUACCUUGACCUUAUUUUAUAUUUAUGCCCUUCAAUUUUGGAUAUGCA
This 3663-nucleotide long non-coding RNA is filed under the name Solanum lycopersicum (tomato). Its description in RNAcentral is "partial TCONS_00003140". Lineage: Eukaryota; Viridiplantae; Streptophyta; Magnoliopsida; Solanales; Solanaceae. The record is from RNAcentral.